GUCUUGGUGGGUCAGUGGUAGAAUUCCUGCCUUUCAUGCAGGAAACCUGGGUUCAAUUCCCAGCCUAUGCU
RNAcentral lists this transfer RNA (71 nucleotides) under Loxodonta africana (African savanna elephant). It matches the Rfam family "tRNA". Rfam says of the family: Transfer RNA (tRNA) molecules are approximately 80 nucleotides in length. Their secondary structure includes four short double-helical elements and three loops (D, anti-codon, and T loops). The record is from Rfam by way of RNAcentral. Lineage: Eukaryota; Metazoa; Chordata; Mammalia; Proboscidea; Elephantidae.